This 525-nucleotide ribosomal RNA is filed under the name uncultured Burkholderia sp. Its description in RNAcentral is "bacterial SSU rRNA". It matches the Rfam family "Bacterial small subunit ribosomal RNA", at positions 134 to 655 of the family's 1533-position model. The record is from RNAcentral. Lineage: Bacteria; Pseudomonadati; Pseudomonadota; Betaproteobacteria; Burkholderiales; Burkholderiaceae.
UAGUGGGGGAUAGCCCGGCGAAAGCCGGAUUAAUACCGCAUACGAUCUGAGGAUGAAAGCGGGGGACCUUCGGGCCUCGCGCUAUAGGGUUGGCCGAUGGCUGAUUAGCUAGUUGGUGGGGUAAAGGCCUACCAAGGCGACGAUCAGUAGCUGGUCUGAGAGGACGACCAGCCACACUGGGACUGAGACACGGCCCAGACUCCUACGGGAGGCAGCAGUGGGGAAUUUUGGACAAUGGGCGAAAGCCUGAUCCAGCAAUGCCGCGUGUGUGAAGAAGGCCUUCGGGUUGUAAAGCACUUUUGUCCGGAAAGAAAUCCUUGGUUCUAAUAUAGCCGGGGGAUGACGGUACCGGAAGAAUAAGCACCGGCUAACUACGUGCCAGCAGCCGCGGUAAUACGUAGGGUGCAAGCGUUAAUCGGAAUUACUGGGCGUAAAGCGUGCGCAGGCGGUUUGCUAAGACCGAUGUGAAAUCCCCGGGCUCAACCUGGGAACUGCAUUGGUGACUGGCAGCUAGAGUAUGGCAGA